AAGAAAUACUCAGACCCAACAAGCCUCCAGCCAGAAUGCCAGCUAUUUUGCAUUUAAAGGAAUUGACUUCCACAUUCAUUGAGCUUUUAAAAAGACCACAACCUCAGAAUGGUUAAAAUCCAUUGACAUUUGCACUUUCAGAUAUGACAAGUCUUGGAGCUGCUGAGAUGACUGGCCCCUGGCCUUUCUACUUAUGCCUCCUUUUCUCCCUGUCCCCCCACCUCCCACCCUGCCUGGGUCUGGAGUUACUUUCAUAGCAUUUCUCACUCUUGGCUGCUUUUUUCCCCCUGAUGGUCAAGUCUCUUAUGUUUCAAUAUUUUUUAACUGGGGUGUCUUAUAACAAAAGAUCCUUAGAUCUAAAAUAAGAAAAAAAGAGAGAAAACUAAAUGUUAUUUUUAUAGCAUAACUUGAGUCUAUUGCCAAAAUCUGGAACUCUCUCCCAUGCCUGAUGAGUUUACAUCCCGGAAACAUUGAGCCAUCAGAAGGAACUGUGUACCUGACUUCUUCUCUGGCCUGGCUAGAUGAAAAAUACCCUCUGACCUUGAGGAUUAUUCUUGUUUAAAAGGGGUGCAUUCAGAUUGAGAAGUGGUGUUGGCAGCAAGCUUUGGCUUGGGUCGAUUUGGUUUGAAUGGUGCUGCUUAUCCAAAUUCCAAGGAAGUAUUUGGGGGACCCCAGCCUCAUUCUCUUAGACAGGUCUUGUUCCCUUCAUUCCACUGUUUUGCCUUUUCCUCAUCUCUCUUUCCCUGGCUUCCUUUUCCUUUUUUCUAUUCACUCUGCUUGCUUGUUGGCCUGACUGCCUGUCUGCCUAUGUGACGAUGAAUUGUCUGCAUGGCUGCAAUGAUCUCACUGUUAGCUGGCAAGGUCAGGCUUAGCUCCAUGACUGCAGAAGACCAAGAACCUGUUCCCCAGCUCUAGUGGUGUCCACUCUGGGAUGGACUGCCUCAAGCUUACACUAUAGCAGAGCAGCAGGCCUGCCCAAUUAGCAUGUAAUCAGGAGGGCUUCUGGCAGUUUCCACACCUGUCCACUCCUUGGAGCUAGUUUCUUUCCAUGCUUUUUCUAGAUCUGGUUCUUUUUCUCUACCUGGGGCAUCCCUUUUCUGAGGUUGUCCUACGGUUGAGCUAUUUGGGUAUCCAGGAUUAGAGAGCUAGGGAAUGAACAUAGGGGAAGAAGGGAGUGAUGAGAAGGGAAUGGAGAGAUUUUGUGUAAAAGAUGGGAAAGGAGAGCACUGCUCUUUGAUUAUUUAUCCAGUCCAGCCUGAUUCAUUGGUGGUUGAUGGAGGUGCUACUGCUGGCCUCUAGGGAUAAGCAAGCCUAGGGCUAUCGUUGCUGAGAAUUCAGGCUUAGAAUAAGGCUAAAGAAGAAGUGUGAAACCUCCCUAAAAAGCUCCUAUUCCUACCUGCUGGAUAGCUUCUCUGUGGCCUCCUCUUUGGCUAAGCAGAAGUGUAUUUGGAGAGUUCUCUUGUUCUGUCCAGAAUUCUGUGAAUGAGGUCAGCACUCAAGAUGGGAAGCAAAGGGAACAUUGACUUCUUAGCUGCCCAAUGAGAUAUCUGCAAGGCUGGUGGGACAAUGUUUUUAGACCUGGCAUCAUGUGGAACAAAGAAGAAUGGAAGUUCCUUCCCCUUCAGGAUAGAAAAGUCAUCUCAAACUAGCCAAAAGGCAGUUUUGGAAAGCACGUUGGGGGAAGUUAUUUUUAUUUAUUUACUAGGCUUAGGCCAAUCCAGGAUCAUAGCUGAGAUGCCUUCCUUCUUCAAGUCUGAUCAUGGCAGGGAUAUGCAAGGCACUCUUUGCUAUUUGGCCUUCUAAGCAGAUUGGGAAGGAGGGAUUCUCCGAUUUUCUCUUUCCCCACAUUUACUAGGACUUGCCUUCUCCCUGGGCAGGGAGAGAGGCUGGGUUGGUGCUCUCCCCUUACUCUGCUCCUACUGACUUAGAACCUCUGGCUGCUGUUAGGGGGCCCAAGGGAGUGGAAGGAAUGGGCUCAAAACAAAACAGAAUGAGGUGGGGAAGGCAUAUUUUUUUCUUUGAAAAGGAAAAUAGGAAACUCUCCAAGAAUUGUGCAAGUGAAUACAAUGUGUCGAAUGCACUGAGUCCCCUUGUGUAGUAGCAAUAAGGAAGAAUGAAAUGACUUUCCUGUGCACACAGUCCAACCUGAUUGGUGUGUGAUGUUGCACUUAGCCAUGUGGUGGGCAUGUGUGACUACUCUGGGUUUCACUUUAGUUUCUGAACUUUUUAUCCCUUUCAAGUCCAGCAUGGAUGGGGAAAUGUCCCUGGAGCCCCAAGCUGUGUACUUGUUUGCAUUUGUUUCCCUUUGAGACUUGUGUUUGUGUCCUGCUUUGAGCUGUACCUUGUCUAGUCCAUUGUGAAAUUAUCCCAGCAGCUGUAAUGUACAGUUCCUUCUGAAGCAAGCAACAGCAUCAGCACAAUUUUGUGUUUUAUAAAGACAACAGUGGCUUCUAUUUCUAAA
Molecule: long non-coding RNA, 2461 nt
Organism: Cynocephalus volans (Philippine flying lemur)
Lineage: Eukaryota; Metazoa; Chordata; Mammalia; Dermoptera; Cynocephalidae
Exons: 2
Source: RefSeq, a predicted model, not a curated record